This is a long non-coding RNA of Apis mellifera (honey bee), 1478 nucleotides long. RefSeq lists it as uncharacterized. NCBI's taxonomy places the organism in Eukaryota, Metazoa, Arthropoda, Insecta, Hymenoptera, Apidae. The transcript has 4 exons. The record is from RefSeq and is a predicted model, not a curated record.
AUUGCAAUCAUAGUCCCAUUGCUUCCAACCAUUUUUUUUUUUUCUUUCAGGUACAGCUUCAAGAGCUUCGUGUUAAUUCGUGAACAAAUUUUUAAGUUGUUUUAUGUCACAACUCUCGAAUGGAUCGAGAAUUUUUAUUGGUUCCCGAAGGAAAAUACGUAAGUCAAACGACCAAAGAAUAUGUUUGUUUUUACGUAAAAUAAAUACAACAACUUUUCGAGCAAUAUGCUUCUUAUCAGUCUAUUUUUUCUCUCUCUUUCUUCCGUAUAUUAUAUAUCGGUUUUUUUCACUCUCUCUUUUCUCUUUCUUCUUCAAAUUCUAUUUUAGCAUAAUUUUACAAAGCUUUUGUUAUUUACAAAUAAAAUUAUAAUACGUAAAUGUAUUCUUGAUUUAGAAAAUGUCCUUUUAAUUCUUCAAUUUAAUAUAAAAAUUUAUUCAAAGCUUUACGCAACUUAUUCUAGCCCACCUUUUAACUCAUACUAUCGAUGAAACACUGUAUAAUUUGCGUUCAGCUGUUCGUUCUCGUACAUUCACUCAACAAACGACGAUACAUUCGAUGACUAGUUUGAAAAAUUCUUGAUAUUGAAAUACAGCGUUAGAUUGAACAACGACUAUACAAUAAUUUAUUUUUUACUUUUGAACUGAAGAAAAACCACCACCCGGCUUCUCUCACAGCCAAAGGGCACGCGAGCUGCCAGAACUCUCCGAAAAUUACCUCGUUUCGCUCAUUUCAAAGCCAACCGAGAUCUGACCAGAACGAUGGCGCGCGACGUUAUUAUAUACUGUGCUUGACGUCACGACUACGCGGCAUCAUGAUUGGAAGUUGCUAUGAGCUCCAACCAAUCAACUCACUUACUGCGUGAAAUUCGAACGGUGCACGCUCGCUCGUUCACUUGAGAGCUUUUCAUUGCCGUCAUCUCGAAUAAACGUUGGAAAGGCCAGACGAUAUAUACUAUAGUUCUCUACCAGUUAAGAGAGAUUCAUUGCCUUGAAUUACGUCACAGUAAAUCAUGCUACAUCGCCAAUCAAAUCGUUGGAGAUAAACAACAUUGUUUCAACCGGCUUCAAUACGGACAGUUUAGAACCAUUUGUCUGAAACGUGAAGGAACCUUCUGACGCAAAUGUAUAAUUCUUUCCUGCUAUAAAGACGCUUAUUGGCCAAGGUUCAAAAUAUACAUACAUCAGAAAUCGUUCUAAAAACUAUAAUAUUUCAAAGAUUUUCCGUCCUAUUGACGUCAAAAGGACACGUAAAUAUCACGUGUUGGAAACAUGGCAUCUCUCGUUGCUAUACCACGGAAAGUUUCUUCAAUUAGAAACCGAUUGAUCGACUUCAUGGAGAGUUACCGCCUUAAGCUAUUUUCAGACGUCGUGCCGCUUAGUUUAGCGAUUAAGCGAAAAUAGAAUUACUGCUAUCGAGUCUGAUAGAGAUCAUUGAUCUAAUGAAACAAUUGAUAUUAAAUAUAAAAUUUAUCGAAAAA